UAGGAAUCAAAGGUAUACAAUAACAUAAUAAUUUAUCUGAUGUUAUUAUGUUAUUGUAUACCUUUGAUUCCUA
Non-coding RNA from Pelobates cultripes (western spadefoot toad), 73 nucleotides. The record is from the annotation of a GenBank genome assembly. NCBI's taxonomy places the organism in Eukaryota, Metazoa, Chordata, Amphibia, Anura, Pelobatidae.